CCCUUAGAUGUUCUGGGCUGCACGCGCGCUACACUGACAUACUCAGCAAGUUUCCUUUCCCGAAAGGGUUGGGUAAUCUUGUUAGUGUAUGUCGUGAUGGGGAUAGAAUAUUGUAAUUAUUGCUCUUUAACGAGGAAUUCCUAGUAAGCGCAAGUCAACAGCUUGCGCUGAUUACGUCCCUGCCCUUUGUACACACCGCCCGUCGCUACUACCGAUUGAAUGAUUUAGUGAGGACUUCGGACUGGGACCGAUGCGGCUUUCGGGCUGCGUCGGUAUUCUGGAAAGAUGUCCAAACUGUAUCAUUUAGAGGAAGUAAAAGUCGUAACA
Molecule: ribosomal RNA, 327 nt
Filed under: uncultured eukaryote
Lineage: Eukaryota
Description: partial 18S ribosomal RNA
Rfam family: Eukaryotic small subunit ribosomal RNA
Source: RNAcentral